This 200-nucleotide unclassified non-coding RNA is filed under the name Tremellales sp. Its description in RNAcentral is "partial internal transcribed spacer 2". The record is from RNAcentral. Lineage: Eukaryota; Fungi; Basidiomycota; Tremellomycetes; Tremellales.
UUAAGUUCAGCGGGUAGUCCUACCUGAUUUGAGGUCAGAGCAAAAAAUGUCAGAAGACGGGUUAUGAGCGGUCCUCUCAGUCUUGGCCAGCGAAACUUAUUACGCCAGAUUCGACCUCGGAAUCACUAAGGCUUUUGAGGCGAGCCGGACGGCAACACCCAAAUCCAUCGUCAUCGGAAACCCGAUGGGAUGAUGUUUUC